GGGGAAUCACGUAACUGCCUUUUGUUCGUCUAGGGCUGAGCUGCUGCCUUGGACUGCCGUUUGCACCUGAGCCACCAAACAGACCCCCAAUUUGUGCAGGCUGCAGGAUUGGUUUCAAAUUGGUCUCCAGAUAUGUGUGAUGCCAAUUUGAAAUGAAGCUUUUUUUAGCAGAGUAUGAGCAGCCGUAGCAGAAGAACCUGGUUAUUUGCAACAUCCAGUCAUUGACAUCUCUUGAGAGAUUUUGGGGCGCCAGAAUCAAGACAAUAAGCUUGUAUCUUAGAAAAAAGAUGAACAUUGUGCCUGCCUGCUAUAUAUACACACGUAGUAGUGUAGUACUAUAAUUCCAUUAUACUGUUUUCUUGAGAAGGAUGAAGCCUGAGAAUUGACAGCAUCUAUCCAUCUUUAACUGAAUUUUGUUCUUCUCCAA
Long non-coding RNA from Panicum virgatum (switchgrass), 427 nucleotides. RefSeq lists it as uncharacterized. The record is from RefSeq and is a predicted model, not a curated record. Lineage: Eukaryota; Viridiplantae; Streptophyta; Magnoliopsida; Poales; Poaceae. The transcript is spliced from 2 exons.